UAGCGCAGCCGCACGGGCACCCGCACAGCUCGUGCUGAAGCGGCAGGAUCAUGACAGUAUUGAUACAGUAGUGCCUACGCAAAGGCUGCGGUCAGGCCAGCCGCCUCAAGGAUUGUUCAUCGAGGGGUUAGCACCAGUGAGAUCUGCAUAAAUAACCUUUUCAAUUGUGACAUCUAUUUGUAUGUAAAGGUAUUUUUUGUCCAAAACUUUAGAAAAUGUAGCAAUACGGUAUGUAAUUAUUCGUAGGCUCAUUUUCAUGGUCCAAACAAGCAUUGCCUAUAAGAAAACCAGCACGUUAAGUCACUUCCGUGAUUAGCAGCCAAAAUGGAUUCAAUCUUUUGAUGGAACUUUUUUCCCUGCAAAGUCUCCAAUCAUUCAACAUCAAGCUCAUCACUAAAAGACUACCAAAUACAUUAUGAAGAAUGGACGGUGGGCGGCUUUUUAGCAGAUCUGCCUCACAGUUCUGAGGACCGGGGUUCAAAUCCCAGCCCUGCCUUUAUGGAGUUUGUAUGUUCUAUCCUGUACCCGUGUGGCUUUUAUCCAGUUACUCAGGUUUCUGCCUACAUCCCAAAAACAUGCGUGCGGGUGACCAGUUCAGGCUGUACCGCUUGUUCCCCAGAGAUGGCUGGGAUAGGCUCCACCAUGCCUGUGACCUAAGUGAGGGUGAAAAGUGCUUGACGGAGUGGUUUGGGGCAGAGAAGUCAGGGCCCUUCCCCUCUUAAGAUGCUGCCCCCACAACCUGACUCCUGAUGAUUGAAAGAAAAAGGAUGGAUGGAUGGAUGGAUAGAUGGUGUGACACCGAGACAGUUGCUUGAGCACAUAAAGUUGCAUAACUCUUCUUCACACACUCUCAAGAGACAGAAUGAGGUAGGGGCUCAGCAGGGGGUCCAUGAAUGCUCACCUGCCGCAACAUGCUUCGAAAAGUUGAUAACUCUGCAACGAGGUGUUGACAUUUUUGUUCCAGUCAAACUGUUUUUAUUUGGCACGUAAUAUACACCUGGGUAAUCCCUCAAUGUUUACUCGGCACAUUUUCAGCUGUAAUAGAAGCCUCUGCUGUUGCGCUUACUCAGCGAUACUCAUCUCACCCACAGGAUUCUUGGCCAACUUAGAUGGUUACUUGUGUUCACUGAAACUAAAGUGAGCGGGACCAGUUAUGUGCCGUCAUAGUCUUUAUUUCUCCCACUCACAUAGUCCCAGUGGUUACAAAACUUAGAUAUCUCAUCAAGUCACCUACCUGAAAUGUGCAACCUAAUACAGAUAAUUUCACAUUGUGGAAAACGAGACUGUAAGGUAUCAUCAAAUGUCGUCAUAAGUGGAUUGGUUCCCCAGUUACCUUGUAAGGCUUAAGCGUUCCUUACUUCACUGCAGCUACGUGUAUUCAAUUG
This is a long non-coding RNA of Syngnathoides biaculeatus (alligator pipefish), 1385 nucleotides long. RefSeq lists it as uncharacterized. The transcript has 4 exons. The record is from RefSeq and is a predicted model, not a curated record. NCBI's taxonomy places the organism in Eukaryota, Metazoa, Chordata, Actinopteri, Syngnathiformes, Syngnathidae.